GAUAAUAGCACAAUCCUAUUUAAGAGUCCACAUCAACAAUUAGGGUUUACGAACUUGAUGUUGGAUCAGGACACCCAAAUGGUGCAACUGCUUUUAAAGGUUCAUUUGUUCAAUGAUUAAAGUCCUGCAUGAUCUGAGUUCAGAUCGGAGAAAUCCAGAUA
RNAcentral lists this non-coding RNA (161 nucleotides) under Monodelphis domestica (gray short-tailed opossum). RNAcentral's name for it is "Bacterial large subunit ribosomal RNA". It matches the Rfam family "Bacterial large subunit ribosomal RNA", at positions 2473 to 2632 of the family's 2925-position model. Lineage: Eukaryota; Metazoa; Chordata; Mammalia; Didelphimorphia; Didelphidae. The record is from Rfam by way of RNAcentral.